UCCACCGAUUGACUAAGGUUUCCAGAGGAAGGCUCGUCCGCUCUGGGUUAGUCGGGUCCUAAGCUGAGGCCGACAGGCGUAGGCGAUGGAUAACAGGUUGAUAUUCCUGUACCACCUAUAAUCGUUUUAAUCGAUGGGGGGACGCAGUAGGAUAGGCGAAGCGUGCGAUUGGAUUGCACGUCUAAGCAGUAAGGCUGAGUAUUAGGCAAAUCCGGUACUCGUUAAGGCUGAGCUGUGAUGGGGAGAAGACAUUGUGUCUUCGAGUCGUUGAUUUCACACUGCCGAGAAAAGCCUCUAGAUAGAAAAUAGGUGCCCGUACCGCAAACCGACACAGGUAGUCAAGAUGAGAAUUCUAAGGUGAGCGAGCGAACUCUCGUUAAGGAACUCGGCAAAAUGACCCCGUAACUUCGGGAGAAGGGGUGCUCUUUAGGGUUAACGCCCAGAAGAGCCGCAGUGAAUAGGCCCAAGCGACUGUUUAUCAAAAACACAGGUCUCUGCUAAACCGUAAGGUGAUGUAUAGGGGCUGACGCCUGCCCGGUGCUGGAAGGUUAAGAGGAGUGGUUAGCUUCUGCGAAGCUACGAAUCGAAGCCCCAGUAAACGGCGGCCGUAACUAUAACGGUCCUAAGGUAGCGAAAUUCCUUGUCGGGUAAGUUCCGACCCGCACGAAAGGCGUAACGAUUUGGGCACUGUCUCAACGAGAGACUCGGUGAAAUCAUAGUACCUGUGAAGAUGCAGGUUACCCGCGACAGGACGGAAAGACCCCGUGGAGCUUUACUGUAGCCUGAUAUUGAAAUUCGGCACAGCUUGUACAGGAUAGGUAGGAGCCUUUGAAACGUGAGCGCUAGCUUACGUGGAGGCGCUGGUGGGAUACUACCCUAGCUGUGUUGGCUUUCUAACCCGCACCACUUAUCGUGGUGGGAGACAGUGUCAGGCGGGCAGUUUGACUGGGGCGGUCGCCUCCUAAAAGGUAACGGAGGCGCUCAAAGGUUCCCUCAGAAUGGUUGGAAAUCAUUCAUAGAGUGUAAAGGCAUAAGGGAGCUUGACUGCGAGACCUACAAGUCGAGCAGGGUCGAAAGACGGACUUAGUGAUCCGGUGGUUCCGCAUGGAAGGGCCAUCGCUCAACGGAUAAAAGCUACCCCGGGGAUAACAGGCUUAUCUCCCCCAAGAGUUCACAUCGACGGGGAGGUUUGGCACCUCGAUGUCGGCUCAUCGCAUCCUGGGGCUGUAGUCGGUCCCAAGGGUUGGGCUGUUCGCCCAUUAAAGCGGUACGCGAGCUGGGUUCAGAACGUCGUGAGACAGUUCGGUCCCUAUCCGUCGUGGGCGUAGGAAAUUUGAGAGGAGCUGUCCUUAGUACGAGAGGACCGGGAUGGACAUACCUCUGGUGUACCAGUUGUCGUGCCAACGGCAUAGCUGGGUAGCUAUGUGUGGACGGGAUAAGUGCUGAAAG
This 1449-nucleotide ribosomal RNA is filed under the name Staphylococcus aureus. Its description in RNAcentral is "partial 23S ribosomal RNA". It matches the Rfam family "Bacterial large subunit ribosomal RNA", at positions 1333 to 2777 of the family's 2925-position model. The record is from RNAcentral. Lineage: Bacteria; Bacillati; Bacillota; Bacilli; Caryophanales; Staphylococcaceae.